UAUGUGAUCGUCUCUCGCAUAUCAAUAAGCGGAGGAAAAGAAACUAACAAGGAUUCCCCUAGUAACGGCGAGUGAAGCGGGAAGAGCUCAAAUUUGAAAUCUUAAAGGGUUUCCCUUUACGAAUUGUAGUUUAAAGAAGUGUUUUCUGUUGAGGUUUUGGUAAAAGUUCUUUGAAAUAGGACAUCAUAGAGGGUGAGAAUCCCGUAUUUGACCUUUACUUUCAACUUUGUGAUACACUUUCAAAGAGUCGGAUUGUUUGGGAAUGCAGUCCAAAAUGGGUGGUAAAUUUCAUCUAAAGCUAAAUAUUGGCGAGAGACCGAUAGCGAACAAGUACCGUGAGGGAAAGAUGAAAAGAACUUUGAAAAGAGAGUUAAGCAGUACGUGAAAUUGUCAAAAGGGAAGCGUUUGACACCAGUGUUGUUUUUCUGAAAAUCAAUUAAAGAACUGUUUAUGCUAAGCUGUUUAGACUUUAUCAGCUAUCUGUUUAGUUUUGAGCUUUUCUUUAAUGCACUUUUCAGUUAACAAGUCAACAUCAAUUUCUUUUGCUGUAAAAAAGCUUGAGGAAGGUGGCUUGAGAUUCGUCUUAAGUGUUUAUAGCCUCUUGCCUAUGCAGUCGGAGAGAUUGAGGUCUGCAGCGUAGAUCCUUCGGGGCUAAAUGCAUUUGUGCUAAGUUAUAACAUUUUAUAGACAACUUGUUGACUAUGAUUUGUCUUGUAGCUUACUCGCUUAUGUUAUUUUACCUACGCUUAGGAUGUUGAUCUACAGAGCGAGAGU
Molecule: ribosomal RNA, 774 nt
Filed under: uncultured Neocallimastigales
Lineage: Eukaryota; Fungi; Neocallimastigomycota; Neocallimastigomycetes; Neocallimastigales
Description: partial large subunit ribosomal RNA
Rfam family: Eukaryotic large subunit ribosomal RNA
Source: RNAcentral